RNAcentral lists this long non-coding RNA (328 nucleotides) under Homo sapiens (human). RNAcentral's name for it is "novel transcript". The record is from RNAcentral. Lineage: Eukaryota; Metazoa; Chordata; Mammalia; Primates; Hominidae.
CACAAAUGUGCAUCAUCGCUCCAAAACAGCACUUGUGGUCCCAGUUCGUGACGUCGUUAUCCACCGAUAUUUUACGUCUCCUGGAAUAAUUGAAAAUGACAUUGCCCUUGCCCUGCUUGACUUCCCUGUGAAUUACUCCACGCACAUCCAGCUUGUGUGCCUCCCUGAACAGGCUUUCAUGGUGCAAGCUGGUACGAACUGCUGGGUGACCGGAUGGGGCAAAGUAAAUGAAACAGGGAGAUUCUGGGGGGCCCCUGGUCUGUGAAUUAAAUGGCACAUGGGUCCAGGUGGGGAUUGUGAGCUGGGGCAUUGGCUGCGGUCGCAAAGG